Molecule: transfer RNA, 314 nt
Filed under: Candidatus Liberibacter solanacearum
Lineage: Bacteria; Pseudomonadati; Pseudomonadota; Alphaproteobacteria; Hyphomicrobiales; Rhizobiaceae
Description: partial 16S-23S ribosomal RNA intergenic spacer
Rfam family: tRNA (bases 40-113)
Source: RNAcentral
UAAUUUUGCGAUUGAUGGGGUCAUUUAAGUUUAUGUUAAGGGCCCAUAGCUCAGGCGGUUAGAGUGCACCCCUGAUAAGGGUGAGGUCGGUAGUUCGAAUCUACCUGGGCCCACCAUUCAAUCAGGCAAGGGGCCGUAGCUCAGCUGGGAGAGCGCCUGCUUUGCAAGCAGGAUGUCAGCGGUUCGAUCCCGCUCGGCUCCACCAAUUGCGAAUUUAUAGUUUUUUUGUUCUAGGGAUUUUUUUUUAGAGCGAUAGUUUUUUGAAAAUUGAAUAGAAGGUAGAUUUUUUUGUAUUUUUUAUAUUGGCAUUGUAU